Mycena galericulata is the source of this 93-nucleotide non-coding RNA. The record is from the annotation of a GenBank genome assembly. NCBI's taxonomy places the organism in Eukaryota, Fungi, Basidiomycota, Agaricomycetes, Agaricales, Mycenaceae.
GGUCUGGUAGUGUAAUGGCAACAUGUCCUGUUCAAAUCGGUCCACUGCGUGAUUUGUAUUGGGGAGAUCUUAGUUCGACUCGGGGCCAGGCCA